UUUUACCCUACUGAUGAUGUGUUGUUGCCAUGGUAAUCCUGCUCAGUACGAGAGGAACCGCAGGUUCAGACAUUUGGUGUAUGUGCUUGGCUGAGGAGCCAAUGGGGCGAAGCUACCAUCUGUGGGAUUAUGACUGAACGCCUCUAAGUCAGAAUCCCGCCCAGGCGGAACGAUACGGCAGCGCCGAAGGAGCCUCGGUUGGCCUCGGAUAGCCGGUCCCCCGCUCGUCCCCGCCGGCCCGGCCCGGGGCCCGGCCCUCGCGUCCGCGCGGGGUCGUCGCCCCACCACCGCGCGUCGGGACCGGGGUCCGGUGCGGAGAGCCUCUCGUCCCGGGAAACGGGGUGCGGCCGGAAAGGGCGCCGCCCCCACGCCCGUCGCGCAACGCACGUUCGUGUGGAACCUGGCGCUAAACCAUUCGUAGACGACCUGCUUCUGGGUCGGGGUUUCGUACGUAGCAGAGCAGCUCCCUCGCUGCGAUCUAUUGAAAGUCAGCCCUCGACACAAGGGUUUGU
Molecule: non-coding RNA, 512 nt
Filed under: Dipodomys ordii (Ord's kangaroo rat)
Lineage: Eukaryota; Metazoa; Chordata; Mammalia; Rodentia; Heteromyidae
Description: Eukaryotic large subunit ribosomal RNA
Rfam family: Eukaryotic large subunit ribosomal RNA
Source: Rfam by way of RNAcentral